GUUGGGUAGGGGAGCGUUCUGUAAGCCUGUGAAGGUGUGUCGUGAGGCAUGCUGGAGGUAUCAGAAGUGCGAAUGCUGACAUAAGUAACGAUAAAGCGGGUGAAAAGCCCGCUCGCCGGAAGACCAAGGGUUCCUGUCCAACGUUAAUCGGGGCAGGGUGAGUCGACCCCUAAGGCGAGGCCGAAAGGCGUAGUCGAUGGGAAACGGGUUAAUAUUCCCGUACUUGGUGUUACUGCGAAGGGGGGACGGAGAAGGCUAUGUUGGCCGGGCGACGGUUGUCCCGGUUUAAGCGUGUAGGUGUGUGUUCCAGGUAAAUCCGGUUCACUUUAACACUGAGGCGUGACGACGAGGCACUACGGUGCUGAAGCAACAAAUGCCCUGCUUCCAGGAAAAGCCUCUAAGCAUCAGGUAACAUCAAAUCGUACCCCAAACCGACACAGGUGGUCAGGUAGAGAAUACCAAGGCGCUUGAGAGAACUCGGGUGAAGGAACUAGGCAAAAUGGUGCCGUAACUUCGGGAGAAGGCACGCUGACACGUAGGUGAAGUGAUUUACUCAUGGAGCUGAAGUCAGUCGAAGAUACCAGCUGGCUGCAACUGUUUAUUAAAAACACAGCACUGUGCAAACACGAAAGUGGACGUAUACGGUGUGACGCCUGCCCGGUGCCGGAAGGUUAAUUGAUGGGGUCAGCGCAAGCGAAGCUCCUGAUCGAAGCCCCGGUAAACGGCGGCCGUAACUAUAACGGUCCUAAGGUAGCGAAAUUCCUUGUCGGGUAAGUUCCGACCUGCACGAAUGGCGUAAUGAUGGCCAGGCUGUCUCCACCCGAGACUCAGUGAAAUUGAACUCGCUGUGAAGAUGCAGUGUACCCGCGGCAAGACGGAAAGACCCCGUGAACCUUUACUAUAGCUUGACACUGAACAUUGAGCCUUGAUGUGUAGGAUAGGUGGGAGGCUUUGAAGCGUGGACGCCAGUCUGCGUGGAGCCGACCUUGAAAUACCACCCUUUAAUGUUUGAUGUUCUAACGUGGACCCGUAAUCCGGGUUGCGGACAGUGUCUGGUGGGUAGUUUGACUGGGGCGGUCUCCUCCUAAAGAGUAACGGAGGAGCACGAAGGUUGGCUAAUCCUGGUCGGACAUCAGGAGGUUAGUGCAAUGGCAUAAGCCAGCUUGACUGCGAGCGUGACGGCGCGAGCAGGUGCGAAAGCAGGUCAUAGUGAUCCGGUGGUUCUGAAUGGAAGGGCCAUCGCUCAACGGAUAAAAGGUACUCCGGGGAUAACAGGCUGAUACCGCCCAAGAGUUCAUAUCGACGGCGGUGUUUGGCACCUCGAUGUCGGCUCAUCACAUCCUGGGGCUGAAGUAGGUCCCAAGGGUAUGGCUGUUCGCCAUUUAAAGUGGUACGCGAGCUGGGUUUAGAACGUCGUGAGACAGUUCGGUCCCUAUCUGCCGUGGGCGCUGGAGAACUGAGGGGGGCUGCUCCUAGUACGAGAGGACCGGAGUGGACGCAUCACUGGUGUUCGGGUUGUCAUGCCAAUGGCACUGCCCGGUAGCUAAAUGCGGAAGAGAUAAGUGCUGAAAGCAUCUAAGCACGAAACUUGCCCCGGGAUGAGUUCU
This 1607-nucleotide ribosomal RNA is filed under the name Salmonella enterica. RNAcentral's name for it is "bacterial LSU rRNA". It matches the Rfam family "Bacterial large subunit ribosomal RNA", at positions 1223 to 2812 of the family's 2925-position model. The record is from RNAcentral. Lineage: Bacteria; Pseudomonadati; Pseudomonadota; Gammaproteobacteria; Enterobacterales; Enterobacteriaceae.